GGAUACCAAUGAAUGAUGUGGUAGUGAAGUUAAACAAGAUCAAGUCAGACUACAGUUCGCAGUUCCCAACUUCAACCACAUCUGGGUGAUAAUCGAGGCAAUCUGAUCAGCAAGAACUGGGAGGAUAUUAAUCAGUAGGGGCGUGCCCCUCCUGUUUCAUCCAAAAAAAAAAAGAACUGGGAGGAUAACCAACAGUUUUCAAUCACCGGCACGAGUCAGCAAGAAAUAAAGGCUUCAGUUCAGAAGCACUGGCCACAAGCAUUCAAUUGCCAAGGCACUCAAAUCACAGAAAUAGCAAUUGUGCAGGAUUGGAACAUCAAGAAAGAUCGGGAUUGGCAUAUUUUUCCAGUGCAAGUGCAGGCAGAAGGUGGCUGCAACCUUAUACCAUUCCAUAGGAAACGAAGGGUUGCAAUUUAUGGUCUUGCCUAAAGAAUAGCACAUUACUGAUAUAGAAAAAGUAAUGAUGUAAAAUUGUACUGCUGUUUCAACCGCUGCAAUCAUAAAAAGGUACAAAAUAAUAAUAAAAAAAGAUGCUAACAUCCACAAACCUUAUUUUCAGUUUUCUGGCAUUGUUGUGGGUUGCAUCCGAAGGGCAGGAAAGCAACGAUUAGUAGUCCACCUACUGACCUAGGCCGACUCCACUAAAACCCA
This 651-nucleotide long non-coding RNA is filed under the name Setaria italica (foxtail millet). RNAcentral describes it as "long non-coding RNA (SITA_LNC003934)". Lineage: Eukaryota; Viridiplantae; Streptophyta; Magnoliopsida; Poales; Poaceae. The record is from RNAcentral.